RNAcentral lists this long non-coding RNA (312 nucleotides) under Physcomitrium patens. Its description in RNAcentral is "long non-coding RNA (PPAT_LNC006522)". Lineage: Eukaryota; Viridiplantae; Streptophyta; Bryopsida; Funariales; Funariaceae. The record is from RNAcentral.
UGGUAGGUUAAAAAUUUAGCUAUUAUGUAAGCCACGUGUUGCAUAUGUUGGACACAUGGUGCACAUAUAAGAAGCUUAUCUUGCAAAUUAGGCAUUAGACUUAUAAGUUAGACAUAUAUUGGUAGUUAUAUAAAAUGUUGCCACAUGUUAGAUAGUAUCUAUAGAAAUAAGAAUGAAAACUCCAUCACUCACCAUAUCUUUUUAUUAUUUUUGGUUUGAUUUCAAGAAUUUAUAGUAUUUUAGUCUUUGGCAAUAACUAUUUCAGUUUCUUCUUGAAUAUAUAUGUUUAUUUUAUUUUAUUUUUUGUUAUAU